This 460-nucleotide ribosomal RNA is filed under the name uncultured bacterium. RNAcentral describes it as "partial 16S ribosomal RNA". It matches the Rfam family "Bacterial small subunit ribosomal RNA", at positions 338 to 795 of the family's 1533-position model. The record is from RNAcentral.
CCUACGGGAGGCAGCAGUGAGGAAUAUUGGUCAAUGGACGAGAGUCUGAACCAGCCAAGUAGCGUGAAGGAUGACUGCCCUCUGGGUUGUAAACUUCUUUUAUAUGGGAAUAAAAUGUUCCACGUGUGGGAUUUUGUAUGUACCAUAUGAAUAAGGAUCGGCUAACUCCGUUCCAGCAGCCGCGGUAAUACGGAGGAUCCGAGCUUUAUCCGGAUUUAUUGGGUUUAAAGGGAGCGUAGGUGGAUUGUUAAGUCAGUUGUGAAAGUUUGCGGCUCAACCGUAAAAUUGCAGUUGAUACUGGCAGUCUUGAGUACAGUAGAGGUGGGCGGAAUUCGUGGUGUAGCGGUGAAAUGCUUAGAUAUCACGAAGAACUCCGAUUGCGAAGGCAGUUCACUGGACUGCAACUGACACUGAGGCUCGAAAGUGUGGGUAUCAAACAGGAUUAGAUACCCCGGUAGUC